GUCGAGCGAACAGACGAGGAGCUUGCUCCUCUGACGUUAGCGGCGGACGGGUGAGUAACACGUGGAUAACCUACCUAUAAGACUGGGAUAACUUCGGGAAACCGGAGCUAAUACCGGAUAAUAUAUUGAACCGCAUGGUUCAAUAGUGAAAGACGGUUUUGCUGUCACUUAUAGAUGGAUCCGCGCCGCAUUAGCUAGUUGGUAAGGUAACGGCUUACCAAGGCAACGAUGCGUAGCCGACCUGAGAGGGUGAUCGGCCACACUGGAACUGAGACACGGUCCAGACUCCUACGGGAGGCAGCAGUAGGGAAUCUUCCGCAAUGGGCGAAAGCCUGACGGAGCAACGCCGCGUGAGUGAUGAAGGUCUUCGGAUCGUAAAACUCUGUUAUUAGGGAAGAACAAAUGUGUAAGUAACUAUGCACGUCUUGACGGUACCUAAUCAGAAAGCCACGGCUAACUACGUGCCAGCAGCCGCGGUAAUACGUAGGUGGCAAGCGUUAUCCGGAAUUAUUGGGCGUAAAGCGCGCGUAGGCGGUUUUUUAAGUCUGAUGUGAAAGCCCACGGCUCAACCGUGGAGGGUCAUUGGAAACUGGAAAACUUGAGUGCAGAAGAGGAAAGUGGAAUUCCAUGUGUAGCGGUGAAAUGCGCAGAGAUAUGGAGGAACACCAGUGGCGAAGGCGACUUUCUGGUCUGUAACUGACGCUGAUGUGCGAAAGCGUGGGGAUCAAACAGGAUUAGAUACCCUGGUAGUCCACGCCGUAAACGAUGAGUGCUAAGUGUUAGGGGGUUUCCGCCCCUUAGUGCUGCAGCUAACGCAUUAAGCACUCCGCCUGGGGAGUACGACCG
This 846-nucleotide ribosomal RNA is filed under the name Staphylococcus epidermidis. RNAcentral describes it as "bacterial SSU rRNA". It matches the Rfam family "Bacterial small subunit ribosomal RNA", at positions 61 to 888 of the family's 1533-position model. The record is from RNAcentral. Lineage: Bacteria; Bacillati; Bacillota; Bacilli; Caryophanales; Staphylococcaceae.